UAUUAUGAGAGUUUGAUCCUGGCUCAGGACGAACGCUGGCGGCGUGCCUAAUACAUGCAAGUCGAACGC
Molecule: ribosomal RNA, 69 nt
Filed under: Enterococcus faecalis
Lineage: Bacteria; Bacillati; Bacillota; Bacilli; Lactobacillales; Enterococcaceae
Also listed under: 1 other name
Description: partial 16S ribosomal RNA
Rfam family: Bacterial small subunit ribosomal RNA
Source: RNAcentral